This 440-nucleotide ribosomal RNA is filed under the name uncultured bacterium. Its description in RNAcentral is "partial 16S ribosomal RNA". It matches the Rfam family "Bacterial small subunit ribosomal RNA", at positions 338 to 795 of the family's 1533-position model. The record is from RNAcentral.
CCUACGGGUGGCUGCAGUGGGGGAUAUUGCACAAUGGGGGAAACCCUGAUGCAGCGACGCCGCGUGUGGGAAGACGGUCCUCUGAUUUGUAAACCACGUUCCCCAGGGACGAAAAUGACGUUACCUAGGGAGGAAGCUCCGGCUAACUACGUGCCAGAAGCCGCGGUAAUACGUAGGGAGCGAGCGUUGUCCGGAAUUACUGGGUGUAAAGGGAGCGUAGGCGGGGAUGCAAGUUGGGUGUCAAAACUACCGGCUCAACUGGUAGUCGCAUUCAAAACUGCAGCUCUUGAGUGAAGUAGAGGCAGGCGGAAUUCCUAGUGUAGCGGUGAAAUGCGUAGAUAUUAGGAGGAACACCAGUGGCGAAGGCGGCCUGCUGGGCUUUUACUGACGCUGAGGCUCGAAAGUGUGGGGAGCAAACAGGAUUAGAUACCCGGGUAGUC